Candoia aspera is the source of this 402-nucleotide long non-coding RNA. RefSeq lists it as uncharacterized. The record is from RefSeq and is a predicted model, not a curated record. Lineage: Eukaryota; Metazoa; Chordata; Lepidosauria; Squamata; Candoiidae. The transcript is spliced from 2 exons.
CAAGGGAGCAUCUGGAACUGUUGGCUGAGCAGUACAUCACAUUUUGGUGAUGCUGUCACUGAGAGACGUGGCGGAACAAAAGCAUAAGAGAUGCCAAAUGCAAGUCAAUUUAUCAGUGGCCAUGACAUUGAAAGAGACAGAUUAAUUUAUGUUUAUUUAUCGGAUGAAGAGACAGCAAACAUGACAUCAUGGAACACUGCAUCAAGAAAGGACAGGAAUGAUAAAUGUCAACAAUGAGAAAGUUUCACAGAAUUUAAUUGAUAUGUGGAAAGAAAACAAAAAGCAGAGAAACCAGGCAAAUUAAUAAAGAAAAAGAAGGUAUGAGGGAAAAUAUAAUAAUUUUGCCCCUGCAGUAAUAAUAGUUUUGCCAGCAUCAAAAAUAAAUGAUGCAUUCUGAACUUC